This 253-nucleotide ribosomal RNA is filed under the name uncultured bacterium. RNAcentral describes it as "partial 16S ribosomal RNA". It matches the Rfam family "Bacterial small subunit ribosomal RNA", at positions 524 to 776 of the family's 1533-position model. The record is from RNAcentral.
UACGGAGGGGGCUAGCGUUGUUCGGAAUUACUGGGCGUAAAGCGCGCGUAGGCGGACCUGCAAGUCGGGGGUGAAAGCCCGAGGCUCAACCUCGGAACUGCCUUCGAUACUGCGGGUCUCGAGUCCGGAAGAGGUGAGUGGAAUUCCUAGUGUAGAGGUGAAAUUCGUAGAUAUUAGGAAGAACACCAGUGGCGAAGGCGGCUCACUGGCCCGGUACUGACGCUGAGGCGCGAAAGCGUGGGGAGCAAACAGG